GCUGGGGCUCCAUGGUAGAGCGCUUGCCUAGCAUGUGUGAGGCCCUGGGUUCGAGUCUCAGUACCGCA
This 68-nucleotide transfer RNA is filed under the name Marmota monax (woodchuck). RNAcentral describes it as "tRNA.Ala". Lineage: Eukaryota; Metazoa; Chordata; Mammalia; Rodentia; Sciuridae. The record is from RNAcentral.